Molecule: ribosomal RNA, 446 nt
Filed under: uncultured bacterium
Lineage: Bacteria
Description: partial 16S ribosomal RNA
Rfam family: Bacterial small subunit ribosomal RNA
Source: RNAcentral
CCUACGGGUGGCAGCAGUCGAGAAUCAUUCACAAUGGCGGAAACCCUGAUGGUGCGACGCCGCGUGGGGGAAUGAAGGCCUUCGGCUUGUAACCCCCUUUCAUGUGGGAGCAAAUUAAAAAGAUAGUACCACACGAGGAAGCGACGGCUAACUCUGUGCCAUCAGCCGCGGUAAUACAGAGGUCUCAAGCGUUGUUCGGAAGCACUGGGCGUAAGGCGUGCGUUGGCGGUUUCGUAAGGCGUGGGUGAAAGUCGCGGGCUCAACCCGCGGACUGCACAUGAUACUGCGAGACUAGAGUGAUGGAGGGGGAAGCGGAAUUCGUGGUGUAGCAGUGAAAUGCGUAGAUAUCGAGAGGAACACUGGUGGCGAAGGCAGGUUCCUGGACAUUAACUGACGCUGAGGCACGAAGGCGAGGGGAGCGAAAGGGAUUAGAUACCCCAGUAGUC